AACGCAUAUUGCACCUUCUGGUAUUCCGGGAGGUACACCUGUUCGAGCGUCAUUUCAACCCUCAAGUUUUACUUGAUGUUGGGAGAAAUCUACGUGAUCCUCCCUAAACUUUUAGGCACCCCUCAGUAAUUUAGAGUGUGACAAAGUCAAAUACUCACUAAAAAUUAUUGGGGUAUGUCAAAAAAUUAGGCGGAAAUUCAUUAAUUUUAAAAUUCUUUUGUAUUUUCUCUCUAAACCAAUAAAAUUUUAGCGGGAUACCCCUAAUAAUUAUUGGUUAAUAGUGAAAUACCCUCUAAAAGUCUUUUGAAUUUACUGUAUACCCUCUAAUUUUUCGUACUUUUGACCUCGGAUCAGGUGGGGAUACCCGCUGAACUUAA
Molecule: unclassified non-coding RNA, 377 nt
Filed under: uncultured fungus
Lineage: Eukaryota; Fungi
Description: sequence contains ITS2
Source: RNAcentral